This 312-nucleotide ribosomal RNA is filed under the name uncultured prokaryote. Its description in RNAcentral is "bacterial SSU rRNA". It matches the Rfam family "Bacterial small subunit ribosomal RNA", at positions 26 to 352 of the family's 1533-position model. The record is from RNAcentral.
AGAAUCAACGCUGGCGGCGUGCCUAACACAUGCAAGUCGAACGAGAAAGUGGAGCAAUUCACGAGUAAAGUGGCGCACGGGUGAGUAACACGUGACUAACCUACCCUUGAGUGGGGAAUAACCUAGGGAAACCUGGGCUAAUACCGCAUAAUACCCACGGGUCAAAGGAGCAAUUCGCUCGAGGAGGGGGUCGCGGCCGAUUAGUUAGUUGGCGGGGUAAUGGCCCACCAAGACGAUGAUCGGUAUCCGGCCUGAGAGGGCGCACGGACACACUGGAACUGAAACACGGUCCAGACUCCUACGGGAGGCAGC